ACACCAAACAUAAACAAAAAGAAAUAAUAAACUCAUUAUUUUCAUCAAUUUUACAAAGUAAACAAUUUGUUUGCAUUUGCGCGAGCAUAUUCACACAGUGUUGUCUUGCGAGUGCAGUGCACGUUUUUGAAUUCCAACGGUCGAGAAGAGAUUGAUCCCCGUCUGCUGAUUUAAAUUGAUGGUCUGAUGGAAAUAUUGUUGUGCGGAUUUACACUAAAACACGAAAGAGCCUGAACCGCGACAGUCUCACAAGUUGCCUUACAUCGGAAUCAGUAAAGCCAACUCCGACUAUAGUUUUUCAUGAAGCUUCAAACCCCCUCCAUGCAAAAAGAGGCAACAUCAAUAUGGAGGGUGUCAACAUUGUGAGCGCAGAAAUGGAUGUGAUGGAGGCAAU
This is a long non-coding RNA of Carassius carassius (crucian carp), 394 nucleotides long. RefSeq lists it as uncharacterized. NCBI's taxonomy places the organism in Eukaryota, Metazoa, Chordata, Actinopteri, Cypriniformes, Cyprinidae. The transcript is spliced from 3 exons. The record is from RefSeq and is a predicted model, not a curated record.